CAUGAUGAAGCACAUGGCUAUGAAUUAAAAUGUUUAUUAAAUAAUUACUAAUAAUUAAAGUCAUUUCUGCAUUUAUUUAUCAAAGAGUUAUUACAGAAUGAUUCAUUGAGUUAUCUGACACAUAAAUCUCCAGUUUUAUUAAAGUUUCCCCGUUUAUAAAUUGUAAUUUUGGCUUUUCAAACAUGUAACUUUACUUUGGCUGUAGUUACACCCUGUGUCCACUAGAGGGCAGAAAGCUCAGUUAGCAGCUAGCUGGAUUCCAGCGGUUGAUUAGCAAAUGGAGACUUUUUGUUGAUGUUUGUGUUUCAACUUUGUUUCUUUCCAGCUCUUCAGCCUCCUUUACAAAAAAAUCAGCAUUUUCUCUGUUAGUGUGAAUCAGAAGCAGCUCUAAAAGAGCAGCUAACAGACUGAAGCAGCAGCAGCUUCAGAGGAGCUGUGGCUCCUAAACUCCAAGCAGAGGUUCAGCUCCAACAGACAGAUGAAACUAAGCUCUAAAACUCUGCUUUAAACGUUAAGAUGCUGAGCUUCUACUUUAAAGUUAGGAAAAUAUUUAUGAAAUGUUAAAUUAUCAAGGAAACAGUCAGAAUAAUGUUGAUGUUUUAGAUGCGGAGCCGCAAAUUAAAACUCUUUAUCAGAGCAGGGCGGUUAUUAUUGCCCUCUACUGGACACAGACGGUAACUGCAGCUGUUUAAAUCAAGGUAAAGGUGAACAUGAUGGAAAUAUGUUAAACACAGAAUGAAAAAUCAUAUCCUCUGAACUUCCGCUUGAACUGCAGGGCUUGCAGCGUCGCUUCAGUGAGGAGACAUCAACUCUACAGAAGAAAACUGUAGUCAAAUCUCACCUUAAUGUCACUUUAAUGACCGCCUUCAGGUAGGGCAUCCUGCUCAGGUCAGCUGCUGUUUAUCAACACCCAGGACAAGGUGUUGGACGUCUGGAAUCAGCUCUUCGGCCUCCUUUACUACAACAUCAGCAUUUUCUCAGUAAGUGUGAAUUAGAAGCAGCUCCACAGAGACUCAGAGCAGAGCUACUCCUUGGAGGAGGUUUUUAGCUCUGAAGUUAUUCUUUACUUCUGUUCCCUGUUUUACAAACAAACUCUGAUUAUCAGCAGCUGCAGAUCUACAAGCUGAUGCUGAACAGCAGCAUCUGUCUUUCAGUUCACGAACAGUCGCUUAUAUUUUUUAUACCAUUAAUCUCAUUCAUUAUUAAAAUAUUCUGAAGAAUUGUAAUAGGUAAUUACAGUCUGUGACCUAUUUGUAAUACUUUACUGAAG
This is a long non-coding RNA of Girardinichthys multiradiatus, 1270 nucleotides long. RefSeq lists it as uncharacterized. The record is from RefSeq and is a predicted model, not a curated record. The transcript is spliced from 3 exons. Lineage: Eukaryota; Metazoa; Chordata; Actinopteri; Cyprinodontiformes; Goodeidae.